GAGACAAAGAAAGACAGAGAGCAGAAAGAAUGGACGUUCAGUCAGGCAAUAGGCGGCGGAGGGAGAAACC
This 70-nucleotide non-coding RNA is filed under the name Chromera velia. The record is from RNAcentral. Lineage: Eukaryota; Chromeraceae.